GAUGAAGAACGUAGCGAAAUGCGAUAAGUAAUGUGAAUUGCAGAAUUCCGUGAAUCAUCGAAUCUUUGAACGCAUAUUGCGCCCUCUGGCAUUCCGGGGGGCAUGCCUGUCCGAGCGUCAUUGCUGCCCUCAAGCACGGCUUGUGUGUUGGGCCCCGUCCUCCGAUCCCGGGGGACGGGCCCGAAAGGCAGCGGCGGCACCGCGUCCGGUCCUCGAGCGUAUGGGGCUUUGUCACCCGCUCUGUAGGCCCGGCCGGCGCUUGCCGAUCAACCCAAAUUUUUAUCCAGGUUGACCUCGGAUCAGGUAGGGAUACCCGCUGAACUUAAGCAUAUCAAUAAGCGGAGGA
Molecule: unclassified non-coding RNA, 346 nt
Filed under: soil metagenome
Description: partial contains 5.8S ribosomal RNA, internal transcribed spacer 2, and large subunit ribosomal RNA
Rfam family: 5.8S ribosomal RNA (bases 1-120)
Source: RNAcentral